Molecule: non-coding RNA, 1888 nt
Organism: Podarcis muralis (Common wall lizard)
Lineage: Eukaryota; Metazoa; Chordata; Lepidosauria; Squamata; Lacertidae
Source: RefSeq, a predicted model, not a curated record
AGGUCAGACCGCGUGACGCAGAAACGGCUGGCUGGCUUCCUAUUGGCUUCCUUGGAGCAGUGGGAAGGCGACUGGCUGGAGCAGAUGGUGUCCCGAACUCGAGAUAGCACGUGAACAUAGAAACACCCGAUUGGCUGACAGCGCCUGUCCACGUGUACUGUAAACCGUCAUUGGCUUAGAGCGGGAAGGGCGUCAAUGGGUUCCGAAAGGCAGUUGAGGAGUGGGAGGGAGGCAGAAUUAUUUUCUGUGUCGCUCGCGCGCAUUAAAAAUUCAACCGCCUCAGGUUGGAGGACGGCGCAAACGUCCUUUCGUUGUCCCCGUCCUGCGUGUUUCUUAAUGCACUGUUGCUUGCCUCUCCCUUCUUUUGGAAUGUGAAUAUAGGAAAGGAACCUUGUUCCAUCUUCUUUGCCAUCCUUUUCCUUCCCCCUUUUCCAGAGCGGCUGCCAUGCUUGGUCGGUGUGGCAAGAGACUAAACAUGGCUGCUCCCCUGGAACUGGCCUGACAUUUGUGGAGCUCCGUCCGCAGGAGCCCUAUAGGGCGCAGUAACCGCCUCUUCCUCUCCCUCCCUUGGCUGUGCUGGGGUGCAGAUGGCGCCUGGCGAGCCUAAUCGCUCCCCACCCUAAUGCACUAUGAAAGAGAUAAGAAUUGAGUGCAACGCAGCUGCUUUUCCCUCAAGAUGGCCAAGCUGCCCACAGAGAAGGCGCAAAUGGACAUAAAGCCUUCUGGGGAGCGGGGGAGAUGAGCCUUCAGGCAGCAGCAACCGCCCCUGCUGAGUCCUGGCACUUGCCUGCCUGCCUGUUUCUCAGGGCCGCAUAGCGAGGAGUGUAUGGUGCGCUGGACUGGAUCCGCGCCUCUGAGCUCUCGGGAGGGUAAAAGGAUGAGAUCGCUAUGCCUUGGUCGCUGCUCGCACGUUUUUCUAGGCAGCACCGUAGGCCCAAUCCUCUUCUCUGCACCCAGGCACGAUAAGCGAGAGAGGGGAAGGUGUGAGGAGCUGCUCUUUGCCCUCGCCAUGCACAUUUCUCCCCUCCCCACAACGGGAGAGCGUAGAAGAGAUGGUGCCGCUGGGGUGUAUGUGUUCUGGGGCGCUUUCUAAGUUGGGGAACAUCCUUUCUAGCAUCUGGUGCAGAUGGCACAAAUUGUUUGGUCACCUUUUCCUUCCCCCUCCCUUCGGCUUCUUUUCCUGCAGAACAACUGCCUCUGUGCUAAGCAUAGGAGACUGAAGGCAACAUACGUGGAGUCAUCCCAUUUUAUCUGCACAACGUCCCUGUGAGGCAGGCUAGCUUCAAGGUCAUAUAGCGAGUGUCAUAAUUCUGCGGAUUAAGUUUUGGUCCAACAAAUCUUGAUCUCAAUUCCAUUGUGGCAUCCAUUUUUUUCUCAAAAAUAAAGCAAUGCUGCAGCUACCAAGCAAGCAAUGGACUCAGCUGCGCAGCAAUAAUGGUUAGCUAAAGAAAGACAUUGUCACAAAAUACUUGCAGUAGUUGCUGAUUUCUGCUAAAUAUGAUGCUGUAUUUACUGUCAUUUUCAACAAGAGACUAACAAAGUAUGUAUGAAUGGAAAACUCUUUACUUGAACUGGCUGUUGUUAUUGUUGCAAUUCCAUCCAUAUUAAUUUACAGAUAGCUGGUACAUUACUUAUGUUGGGUGCAGUGCUUUGAAGGCCAGGUAAUUUUGGUAAUUUUGUUGUACUGUUAAUACUAUACACAACUUGUCUCAAAGCAAUGUAGCGCCUAAAAGCUUUAGUGUUUCAAAAUUAACAAGUUCACAAAUGAAGAGUGUUCACAAUUGGACUUUUUAGCCUGUCCAGUGCUACUUAAACCUGUGUGUUGGUUGGGAAUAUGAAGCUCAUGAGGUUACGUUUCUAGUUAAAAAUAAACCAGUUCUAACACAUA